UGUGAGUGUGCGAAGUCGAGGCGGGAGACCAAGUCGGAGGAACAUACCACAUUUGGAGGAUAAACGUGACAUAUGUAUGGUCAGAGAUGUUUUCCAGUCUAAGCUAGGGGUGGAAAAAUCGUGCAAGAGUAUGAAACCAUUAAAACAUUGUUGGAUGGUACACGACAGAUGGUAAACCUACUAGUGGCUGACAUGAUCGAAGUUCAUGGGAGGAUCCAUCCAACAAAUGUGCGAGAAAAGUAUGCUUUUGGCAUCAUCACUCUAUUUCCAUGUCUUCAAGAUCCAUACUCAAAGAACGGAUACGAACACUACUAUGAUCCAGAUGGUGGAUCUGGCUACUUGGCAUGGAGGAUAAAGACGGUUCAGCGCAACACUGCAGUCCCUGAGAUGCUCCCCCAGCACUACCUAUCAAGAUGGUCCAUAGAGCAAGAGGGAUUUCUCUUAACUUGUGGGCAACUGACUGGCGAGGAAUGCAGAGAGGCAAUAUCCUUCAUGAAGCAUUCAGCUGAUGAAUCAG
Molecule: long non-coding RNA, 517 nt
Organism: Eleginops maclovinus (Patagonian blennie)
Lineage: Eukaryota; Metazoa; Chordata; Actinopteri; Perciformes; Eleginopidae
Exons: 4
Source: RefSeq, a predicted model, not a curated record